Molecule: non-coding RNA, 373 nt
Organism: Pelobates cultripes (western spadefoot toad)
Lineage: Eukaryota; Metazoa; Chordata; Amphibia; Anura; Pelobatidae
Source: the annotation of a GenBank genome assembly
GUUUAGUGACAGCAGGGAUAGCUGAACGUUUUGAUAUAAGAUUUGUGUAGGUGGGUUUGAAAAUAAGGGAGUGGUGGCAGUUUAGAAAUCAUGUCCUGAUUUUUCAGCUCUUGCCAGCUCCCACUCUAGCUUUGCCAUUCAUUCCUAUGGGACAAAUUUCGCCACAAGAACGACGAUAUUCCGUGAACCAUUCGGCGAAACGUUCCACAAAGUAAUAGCACACCAAUCUGGAACAAUCCGCACGUUUCGGUUUAUUUCUGUCUAUGUAGUGUAAAAACUGUGGGAGGAGUUAGGGUGGUAAAUUUGGCUAUAAUAAUAAUAAUAAUAUAUGUGAGAUAACAUUAAGUGGUCUUGCUAUGCAAGAACACUUAAU